AUUGGUCUUAAAAAAAAAUGGGCAGAGUAUCUGCACAGACACUUUUCCCAAGAAGAUGUACAAAUGGCCAACAGAAAUAGAAAAAGACUUCAACUUCACUAGCUACUAGGGAAAUGCAAAUCAAAACGGCAGCAAGAUAGCACC
This is a long non-coding RNA of Pipistrellus kuhlii (Kuhl's pipistrelle), 144 nucleotides long. RefSeq lists it as uncharacterized. Lineage: Eukaryota; Metazoa; Chordata; Mammalia; Chiroptera; Vespertilionidae. The record is from RefSeq and is a predicted model, not a curated record. The transcript has 3 exons.